GACGAACGCUGGCGGCGUGCCUAACACAUGCAAGUCAAGGGACCAGCAAUGGUCAUUGGCGCACGGGUGCGGAACACGUAGGUAAAUCUGCCCAUGAGGGGAGAACAACUCACCGAAAGGUGAGCUAAAUCUCCGUAAUGUUAGACUGUGGCAUCACAGUCUAACCAAAUUUUCUUAUGGAUGAGCCUGCGUCUGAUUAGCUAGUUGGUGAGGUAACGGCUCACCAAGGCUACGAUCAGUAGCUGGUCUGAGAGGAUGAUCAGCCACAUUGGGACUGAGACACGGCCCAGACUCCUACGGGAGGCAGCAGUGAGGAAUAUUGCUCAAUGGACGAAAAGUCUGAAGCAGCAACGCCGCGUGAGGGGUGAAGGUGCUCUGCAUUGUAAACCUCUGUAGUCGGGACAAAAAGUGGGUUACUACCCACCUGAUGGUACCCGAAAAGUAAGGAAUCGGCUAACUACGUGCCAGCAGCCGCCGU
This 478-nucleotide ribosomal RNA is filed under the name uncultured bacterium. Its description in RNAcentral is "bacterial SSU rRNA". It matches the Rfam family "Bacterial small subunit ribosomal RNA", at positions 28 to 521 of the family's 1533-position model. The record is from RNAcentral.